UACGUAGGGGGCGAGCGUUAGUCCGGAUUCAUUGGCGUAAAGAGCUCGUAGGCGGCUUUGGCAAGUCGGAUGUGAAAACUCCCGAGCUCAACCGUGGAGCCGCCAUUCGAUACAUGCUAGUGGCUAGAGUCCGGAAGAGGGAGAGUGGAAUUCCUGGUGUAGCGGUGAAAUGCGCAGAUAUCAGAGAACGACCCGCUGGCGAAGGCGGCUCUCCUGGGGACGGUACUGACGCUGAGACGACGAACGUGGGGAGCAACAGG
RNAcentral lists this ribosomal RNA (260 nucleotides) under uncultured bacterium. Its description in RNAcentral is "partial 16S ribosomal RNA". It matches the Rfam family "Bacterial small subunit ribosomal RNA", at positions 524 to 775 of the family's 1533-position model. The record is from RNAcentral.